This 253-nucleotide ribosomal RNA is filed under the name uncultured bacterium. Its description in RNAcentral is "partial 16S ribosomal RNA". It matches the Rfam family "Bacterial small subunit ribosomal RNA", at positions 524 to 776 of the family's 1533-position model. The record is from RNAcentral.
UACGGAGGGGCGAGCGUUGUCCGAAGUUACUGGGCGUAAAGCGCGUGUAGGCGGGUUGUCAAGUCCGCUGUGAAAGCCCGAGGCUCAACCUCGGAGGGUCGGUGGAUACUGACAGUCUUGAAGGUGCUAGGGGGAGAUGGAAUUACCGGUGUAGCGGUGAAAUGCGUAGAGAUCGGUAGGAACACCAGUGGCGAAGGCGGUCUCCUGGGGCAUUCUUGACGCUGAGACGCGAAAGCUGGGGGGAGCGAACGGG